GCGUUGCACUCAAAAUAGUGAUAAUUCAGGCUCAAUGUGUCUCCCAAGGAUUUCCCCAAAACAAAUUGACAAUGUAGGGGGGAAAAAGAACAGAUGAACUACAAUUUUACAUCGACUACAGUAAAGAACUGUCUAAAUUCUUUACUUCUGUUCUCCCAAGUCAGCUGAGUCAUACCUAAACUUAAUCACUCAAAUUAUCAUCAAAAAAGUUAUCAUCAUCUUCAUCAUCAUCGUUGUCGUCGUCACUGGUGCCACCAGCAUUUGCGGG
RNAcentral lists this unclassified non-coding RNA (268 nucleotides) under Hevea brasiliensis (rubber tree). The record is from RNAcentral. Lineage: Eukaryota; Viridiplantae; Streptophyta; Magnoliopsida; Malpighiales; Euphorbiaceae.